GUGGUAGUCCGCAACGAGCGCAACCCUUAUCCUUGUUGCCAGCGGUCCGGCCGGGAACGUCAAAGGAGACUGCCAGUGAUAAACUGGAGGAAGGUGGGGAUGACGUCAAGUCAUCAUGGCCCUUACGACCAGGGCUACACACGUGCUACAAUGGCGCAUACAAAGAGAAGCGACCUCGCGAGAGCAAGCGGACCUCAUAAAGUGCGUCGUAGUCCGGAUUGGAGUCUGCAACUCGACUCCAUGAAGUCGGAAUCGCUAGUAAUCGUGGAUCAGAAUGCCGCGGUGAAUACGUUCCCGGGCCUU
RNAcentral lists this ribosomal RNA (303 nucleotides) under uncultured Enterobacteriaceae bacterium. RNAcentral's name for it is "bacterial SSU rRNA". It matches the Rfam family "Bacterial small subunit ribosomal RNA", at positions 1074 to 1382 of the family's 1533-position model. The record is from RNAcentral. Lineage: Bacteria; Pseudomonadati; Pseudomonadota; Gammaproteobacteria; Enterobacterales; Enterobacteriaceae.